This 735-nucleotide ribosomal RNA is filed under the name Escherichia coli. RNAcentral describes it as "partial 23S ribosomal RNA". It matches the Rfam family "Bacterial large subunit ribosomal RNA", at positions 2180 to 2909 of the family's 2925-position model. Lineage: Bacteria; Pseudomonadati; Pseudomonadota; Gammaproteobacteria; Enterobacterales; Enterobacteriaceae. The record is from RNAcentral.
AUGGAGCCGACCUUGAAAUACCACCCUUUAAUGUUUGAUGUUCUAACGUGGACCCGUGAUCCGGGUUGCGGACAGUGUCUGGUGGGUAGUUUGACUGGGGCGGUCUCCUCCUAAAGAGUAACGGAGGAGCACGAAGGUUGGCUAAUCCUGGUCGGACAUCAGGAGGUUAGUGCAAUGGCAUAAGCCAGCUUGACUGCGAGCGUGACGGCGCGAGCAGGUGCGAAAGCAGGUCAUAGUGAUCCGGUGGUUCUGAAUGGAAGGGCCAUCGCUCAACGGAUAAAAGGUACUCCGGGGAUAACAGGCUGAUACCGCCCAAGAGUUCAUAUCGACGGCGGUGUUUGGCACCUCGAUGUCGGCUCAUCACAUCCUGGGGCUGAAGUAGGUCCCAAGGGUAUGGCUGUUCGCCAUUUAAAGUGGUACGCGAGCUGGGUUUAGAACGUCGUGAGACAGUUCGGUCCCUAUCUGCCGUGGGCGCUGGAGAACUGAGGGGGGCUGCUCCUAGUACGAGAGGACCGGAGUGGACGCAUCACUGGUGUUCGGGUUGUCAUGCCAAUGGCACUGCCCGGUAGCUAAAUGCGGAAGAGAUAAGUGCUGAAAGCAUCUAAGCACGAAACUUGCCCCGAGAUGAGUUCUCCCUGACUCCUUGAGAGUCCUGAAGGAACGUUGAAGACGACGACGUUGAUAGGCCGGGUGUGUAAGCGCAGCGAUGCGUUGAGCUAACCGGUACUAAUGAAC